Molecule: ribosomal RNA, 253 nt
Filed under: uncultured bacterium
Lineage: Bacteria
Description: partial 16S ribosomal RNA
Rfam family: Bacterial small subunit ribosomal RNA
Source: RNAcentral
UACGUAGGGUGCAAGCGUUAAUCGGAAUUACUGGGCGUAAAGCGUGCGCAGGCGGUUAUGCAAGACAGAUGUGAAAUCCCCGGGCUCAACCUGGGAACUGCAUUUGUGACUGCAUAGCUAGAGUACGGUAGAGGGGGAUGGAAUUCCGCGUGUAGCAGUGAAAUGCGUAGAGAUCGGGAGGAACAUCAGUUGCGAAGGCGGCUCUCUGGACCAGCACUGACAUUGAGGCACGAAAGCGUGGGGAGCAAACAGG